UACGUAGGGUGCGAGCGUUGUCCGGAAUUACUGGGCGUAAAGAGCUCGUAGGUGUUUUGUCGCGUUGUCCGUGAAAACUCACAACUCAAUUGUGGGCGUGCGGGCGAUACGGGCAGACUGGAGUACUGCAGGGGAGACUGGAAUUCCUGGUGUAGCGGUGGAAUGCGCAGAUAUCAGGAGGAACACCGGUGGCGAAGGCGGGUCUCUGGGCAGUAACUGACGCUGAGGAGCGAAAGCGUGGGGAGCGAACAGG
Molecule: ribosomal RNA, 253 nt
Filed under: uncultured bacterium
Lineage: Bacteria
Description: partial 16S ribosomal RNA
Rfam family: Bacterial small subunit ribosomal RNA
Source: RNAcentral